Tympanuchus pallidicinctus (lesser prairie-chicken) is the source of this 2581-nucleotide long non-coding RNA. RefSeq lists it as uncharacterized. The record is from RefSeq and is a predicted model, not a curated record. The transcript is spliced from 5 exons. NCBI's taxonomy places the organism in Eukaryota, Metazoa, Chordata, Aves, Galliformes, Phasianidae.
AUUCUGCAAAGCUGAGACAUAUGAUAGCGAAAGAACUGGGUUUUAUGACAAGCAGGCUCGCCCAAGAAAACAGAAAUGCUGGUAUUGGGCCAAAGGCCUCCAUAAGACUCUCCACCUGUAGUUGUUAGAACCUGAACCUUGAAGAGAACCUUGAAGAUUGUUUGGCAGCUGAAGAGACAAUAAUUCAGAUUUACCAGCCAGUUAGAGAGCAACACAGAAACCAGAAUAUGCAGAAGCAACAGCAGCUUAAGUACAGAGGUUAUAAAAGGUAAUCAUUAAACCUGUUCUCAGACAAGAAGCUUUGAGAUGGGAACCACAGGUAAACCAAUAGUCCAAUUAGUUUAUCUUUAAAACAAAAAGGUUUUUUUUCCAUUUGUUAAGAAUGUUUGUCCAGUACCUAAGCGUUUUAUUAUGUAGUGAGAGGAAAUCAUAAUUUAGGUAGAUUUUAAUUUCAUGUCAUGAUAUUUCUGCUUUAGAAACUGUGGAAGAUAAACUUGAAGUAAUUGUAGUGUGGAUGUGUUUAAAAGCAUCUGUCCAGAUGUUAAGUGCAUCCCGUACAAACAGCUUGUUUCAUCUUGAGGAAAUGGAAAAGUGUGAGCAGAAAUCUCUCAUUUGUUUUUCAUUAACCUGAAGACAGCUGAGCAGGCACCUUGUGUUCCUUUCAUCUGCAUUUCAAGUUUUCAUUUUUGUAGAUGUUUAAAAAUCUUGCUGUAGGGGUAGAAAACCUGUCUCAAUUUCUGUACACCUAUAUAUCCAGGAAAACAUUGCUAAUACUGUCUGCUGAAACAAGGUAGCUUCAUUCGUGGUAGUCAUCCUGAAACUACUAGCAAAAAAACCUGAGGAAUUACAUUCUACAGCAAUGGGGGAAGACUCUUUCCCUCUCAACUGUAUAUGUAUGAAGAGAUCAAGGGGUUCAAAUUUCAAGGGACUUCAGAAUGAAGCACUCUGUGGGCUAGUCCUGUCAGUGUAGUUUGAACCUUUUCAAAUACUGUUUACUAAUCAUAUCAUAAGAAGUAAUUUUCAACUUGAAUUCAGGAAACAGCAAGAAAACAGCAUAUACAUUUAGCUUUUAUUACCAUUAUCACUAAUAAUAAAGGUUAAUGUUUGUUGGGGCUGGUAUUUAUUGCUUGCAGUACUGCACGUAUUCUUUUCUGGACUGGCAGUUCCUAAAUGGAUGGUAAUGACUGUUCUAACUUGGAGGUUUUACUUAUAGCUUAGUGGUAUCUCAGAAUAGAUACUUUCCAUUCUUACCUUGCUGCCUAACAGGUUACUUCAUUUUUAUCAGAGGAAUAGUGUGUUUACUUGCACUUGCUCUUCUUUGACUCCUGCUGUUAACAGAUAUGCUCUAAGAAGUUAUCUCACUUCUGUUGAUCUUAAGUGCAUUUCGUUUUUCUCACGAGAAAUUCCAGAAAAGGAAGAGUCGCAGUCACUUCAAGCACGAGGUAGCAGUUAUCAGGAUUCCAAGUCUGACCCAGCUUUAACUAUCAUCUUUGUGAGAGAACAUUCUGGCAGUACCUCUUCCCAGUGCCCAGGGGUUGCAAAGACCUGAUUUCCAUACAGUUUCAAGUGAAUUAAUUAGGUAAGGAAAACAAUGUUAAAGAAUGUGUGCGUGCUUUGGAAGAGUGGACUCCAUACGAUCAUUUACAAGUUAAUAAGGCCAGGUACCCAUUCCUGGUAGUGAUGGACUGUGUAAGUAACUUUUCUAACUGCCACAGCUGAUGCUAUGGUGGUGCCACAGCAAUGACAAUCGCAGUAUUGCUUCAGAAGUGAGAGAUGGAGACGACUACUAGCUUUCGGCCAAGAGGAAUAUUCCUUUUGCAAGAUAAACUUCUUUGUCAUAUCUUUCAAAUGCUAAUACUGGUUUCUGCUACACAGUGUUUUUUAAUUGCGUGUUUAAUAGUUGUAAAAUGAAAGCAGUAAGGAAGCUAGUCACAUCCGACAGUUGAAAUAGAGUGUAAUAUGAUGUUGUACAGUCAUCAUGUGAAGUUCCUGGUUGCCAUUUCUCAGAACUGCUGAUCCUGCAUUCUUCUACUAUUAUUCCACACCACUGUGAGAUACAUUUCUCUCUUAGCUCAUCUGCCUGCCAGUGCUUUAUUUAUAAUUGGUUGGUUUUAUGCUCCUUUCCUAAAUUAAGUUUCAGAAACACUGUAUUUUAUCACUCACUUGACUAGAAUGUCAUGUCAAUUAUGUUGCAGUGUAUGCUUCUCAGCAGUGGUGCCUAACUCCAUGGUUACUGUGGUGUAAAAAUGUUCUUAAAGUCCAUUGUUAUGGGAAUUAAUGAAAAAUGAAGAGGAAUGUUUUCUAACAGCUUCAGAAGGAUGGAUCUUGUGUUUCUAUGAUAGCAUGUAUUUGUAAAGAAACAAAAGCUUUCAAUUCUCCACAUGGUAACCUAAAUCUUACCUAACCCAUCUUUCUGAUUUCAAAUGGAACCAAAGUAUUCUGUUACUUCUUUUAGUGACCAGGGUUGAAUCAAGGCUUCUGCUGGCUAAAUGCCUGUAUUCUGUGACAGUGUAUGAAAAAAAGUAAUGUUCCACAUACUGAAAGCAUGUGAAAUAAAAAGACCUUGUACUGGAAUAGUAAA